This 209-nucleotide non-coding RNA is filed under the name Bacteroides coprosuis. Lineage: Bacteria; Pseudomonadati; Bacteroidota; Bacteroidia; Bacteroidales; Bacteroidaceae. RNAcentral also lists the same sequence under 1 other name. The record is from RNAcentral.
UUAUAUUUGUAAUACAAUAGUUUACUUUUCUGCUGCCACUAGAAAAGUAAUAAGAGGGAAUUAGGUGAAAAUCCUAGACAGUCCCGCUGCUGUAAUUCUCAUUAUUGGUGAUAGACAAAAGAAUGACUUUAAAAAGCCACUGGAUUAUUCUGGGAAGGCGUCUAUUUACUGAGAUAAGUCAGAAGACCUGCUAUUGUAAUCUGUAUUUU